UACGUAGGGUGCAAGCGUUAAUCGGAAUUACUGGGCGUAAAGCGUGCGCAGGCGGCUUUGCAAGACAGAUGUGAAAUCCCCCGGGCUCAACCUGGGAACUGCAUUUGUGACUGCAUGGCUAGAGUACGGUAGAGGGGGAUGGAAUUCCGCGUGUAGCAGUGAAAUGCGUAGAUAUGCGGAGGAACACCGAUGGCGAAGGCAAUCCCCUGGACCUGUACUGACGCUCAUGCACGAAAGCGUGGGGAGCAAACAGG
Molecule: ribosomal RNA, 254 nt
Filed under: uncultured bacterium
Lineage: Bacteria
Description: partial 16S ribosomal RNA
Rfam family: Bacterial small subunit ribosomal RNA
Source: RNAcentral